CAAUAGCGUAUAUUAAAGUUGUUGCGGUUAAAAAGCUCGUAGUUGGAUUUCUGCCGAGGACGACCGGUCCGCCCUCUGGGUGAGUAUCUGGUUCGGCCUGGGCAUCUUCUUGGAGAACGUAUCUGCACUUGACUGUGUGGUGCGGUAUCCAGGACUUUUACUUUGAGGAAAUUAGAGUGUUUCAAGCAGGCACACGCCUUGAAUACAUUAGCAUGGAAUAAUAAGAUAGGACCUUGGUUCUAUUUUGUUGGUUUCUAGAGCUGAGGUAAUGAUUAACAGGGAUAUUUGGGGGCAUUUGUAUUAACCGGUCAGAGGUGGAAUUCUUGGAUUCGGUUACGACAAACUAAUGCGAAAGCAUUUGCCAAGGAUGUUUUCAUUGAUCAAGAACGAAAGUGUGGGGAUCGAAGACGAUCAGAUACCG
RNAcentral lists this ribosomal RNA (421 nucleotides) under uncultured eukaryote. Its description in RNAcentral is "SSU rRNA". It matches the Rfam family "Eukaryotic small subunit ribosomal RNA", at positions 592 to 1017 of the family's 1831-position model. The record is from RNAcentral.